GUUGUAUGGUUAAGUGACUAAGCGUACACGGUGGAUGCCUUGGCAGUCAGAGGCGAUGAAGGACGUAUUAACUUGCGAUAAGCGUAGAUUAGGCAGUAAAAGCCACUUGAGUCUACGAUUUCCGAAUGGGGAAACCCACUAGCAUAAGCUAGUAUCGCUGCGUGAAUACAUAGCGCAGCGAGGCGAACUCGGGGAACUGAAACAUCUAAGUACCCGAAGGAAAAGAAAUCAACUGAGAUUCCGAAAGUAGCGGCGAGCGAAAUUGGACUAGCCCUUAAGCUUUAAAAGAUGCAGGGGAACACGCUGGAAAGCGUGGCAAUAAAGGGUGAUAGCCCCGUAACCGACACAUCAUUCUAAGUGAAAACGAGUAAGGCGGGACACGUGAUAUCCUGUUUGAAUAUGGGGGGACCAUCCUCCAAGGCUAAAUACUACUGACUGACCGAUAGUGAACCAGUACCGUGAGGGAAAGGCGAAAAGAACCCCUGUGAGGGGAGUGAAAUAGAACCUGAAACCGUGUACGUACAAGCAGUAGGAGCAAGGCAAUGCCUUGUGACUGCGUACCUUUUGUAUAAUGGGUCAGCGACUUAUAUUCAGUGGCAAGGUUAACCGUAUAGGGGAGCCGUAGGGAAACCGAGUCUUAACUGGGCGCUU
Molecule: ribosomal RNA, 651 nt
Filed under: Vibrio alginolyticus
Lineage: Bacteria; Pseudomonadati; Pseudomonadota; Gammaproteobacteria; Vibrionales; Vibrionaceae
Description: bacterial LSU rRNA
Rfam family: Bacterial large subunit ribosomal RNA
Source: RNAcentral